UAAGCAUUUCACUAAGGUUAACACCUGUUGUAUUCGGCGCAUGUGACUAAUACAAUUUGAUUUGACUAAUGAAUACGACAAGCAUCAGCAUAUAGAGCAAACCUUCAGAUUUAACUCAGUCAACAUGGUGGGAGGUGUUUAUAAUGAAAAGUAGGCUUAUUUGUUUGGGAUUCAUAGUUUUUUUCCCCGUGUUAGUUUGUCAUAUAGACUAGUGGUGGUGUGUGUAGUUUUAGGACUGUAUGCCUUCAUCUUGAAUUAUAUUUCAACCAAGGCCUAUGCUGCUGGAGUCACCCUGUAUCACAUCUGAGACCAAAACACAAAUCAUAAUACGCCCUUCAAAGAAACAGAAUACCCCUCUUCCUCUAUUUACCCCCUUCCUCUUCCUCUCCAGUUCUACACUACAUCCGACUGUGUAGCAGGCCUGUAUAAAUUCGCGAUUUCGUUUGAAAACGGCAGCAGCGUCCGUUCGGCCACUUUGAUUAAACGAGGCGACCGUCACACUGUUUAUUGUUCUCCUAAUGUAUUAUUGAAGGGCCUGGGAGAGGAAUGCUUUUAAGCUGCUUUGGCUGGCACGCCCCAGCGCAACACUUACAUUCUCAAUUAGAUGUAUUCGCUGCGUCUGGGCUCUCACCUUUUAGAAAGAGUGACACUUUUGAUAAAGAGUUCUGCGUGUCCGGAGAACCCAUUUAACCUUCGCGCGAGGCGCUGCCCUAUAUUUGAAAGGCUAACUAUUGUGACUAAGCGCAACGUCGGAGCAGGCAAAUGCAUUUUUGAGAAGUUGAACUAAUGAAUAAAUACCUGGGAUUAUUAUUAAUAGAUUCUGGCUGGACGGGGCUAGAGGAAAGGAGACCGGACGGCGUUUGUUUGAGGCUUCUCGCUCUCUCUCUUUCUCUAUUGAAAGACCGAGGUCCACACCAGAUGAAUGAUGUUGGGGAAUUUUCCAAUUUACUCUCAAACUGGGCAGAGGAAGAGCUAGACAGAUGUGAUAGAUAGAUGGAACGUGAACGGAGGGAGCUGUGUGUCAGGCAUGGGAUUAAAAAAAUUCAAGGUAGUGGGUUUCCAGGCCGGCAUACGUUGUUGUGAAAAUCAAACCCACUUCUGAAAACCAGAUCACUAAAGCCACUAUCUGCUAUGGAUUAAAUAUAGGCUGGAAUGCAUCAUACUUGAGUGGUAGCCUAGCUGAAGUUAAUAGGUGGAGUGCUGUUGGCCUGGAGUCAGUAGGUGGAGUGCUGUUGGCCUGGAGUCAGUAGGUGGAGUGCUGUUGGCCUGGAGUCAGUAGGUGGAGUGCUGUUGGUCUGGAGUCAGUAGGUGGAGUGCUGUUGGCCUGGAGUCAGUAGGUGGAGUGCUGUUGGUCUGGAGUCAGUAGGUGGAGUGCUGUUGGUCUGGAGUCAGUAGGUGGAGUGCUGUUGGCCUGGAGUCAGUAGGUGGAGUGCUGUUGGUCUGGAGUCAGUAGGUGGAGUGCUGUUGGCCUGGAGUCAGUAGGUGGAGUGCUGUUGGUCUGGAGUCAGUAGGUGGAGUGCUGUUGGUCUGGAGUCAGUAGGUGGAGUGCUGUUGGUCUGGAGUCAGUAGGUGGAGUGCUGUUGGUCUGGAGUCAGUAGGUGGAGUGCUGUUGGCUGGAGUCAGUAGGUGGAGUGCUGUUGGUCGUAGG
Molecule: non-coding RNA, 1648 nt
Organism: Salvelinus sp. IW2-2015
Lineage: Eukaryota; Metazoa; Chordata; Actinopteri; Salmoniformes; Salmonidae
Source: RefSeq, a predicted model, not a curated record